Non-coding RNA from Paralichthys olivaceus (Japanese flounder), 493 nucleotides. Lineage: Eukaryota; Metazoa; Chordata; Actinopteri; Pleuronectiformes; Paralichthyidae. The record is from RefSeq and is a predicted model, not a curated record.
GAGUUUCCUCCAGGCUCCACGUGAACUGAUGUUCAGAACAGAGAGCUCCAGCAGAAUGAAUUACGGUGUCGGGCUCCCCGUGCAAAGCGGUCGGGACGAAUUCCUCCAACUCUUAUAUUCUGUUUCCACGAUGAACUGCUCACACUGACACGUGUUGUGACGCAUCCACCACGUCUCUUCUGGAUCCAUCAGUUUUGGACGUGGUGACCAUUUCCCCCUUUUGGAAAGGAAACACUACGUUUGGUGAAUUUGCGAACAGAUGAUGAAAAGAAGAAGAGAGAACGCCAGCGUUCGUGCUCCCGGUGAUAGAGACUCUCUGUCGGAGCCGUGGCUUCCUCCUCCUCAUCGUACCUCAUGUUAGCAUUUCCCACCACUUGUCUAAAAUUGGACACCCUGGUGAGACCGGGCCUGCCCACAGUGGUCCUCCUCUCCUCCCUCCCCCCUCUCCUCCCUCCGCCGGGCAACCCACCGGACAAAUAUAAACCUUUUUUGU